This 530-nucleotide ribosomal RNA is filed under the name uncultured haloarchaeon. Its description in RNAcentral is "bacterial SSU rRNA". It matches the Rfam family "Archaeal small subunit ribosomal RNA", at positions 1 to 526 of the family's 1478-position model. The record is from RNAcentral. Lineage: Archaea; Methanobacteriati; Methanobacteriota; Halobacteria; Halobacteriales; Halobacteriaceae.
AUUCCCGGUUGAUCCUGCCGGAGGCCAUUGCUAUCGGAAUCCGAUUUAGCCAUGCUAGUCGCACGGGUUUAGACCCGUGGCGAACAGCUCAGUAACACGUGGCCAAACUGCCCUGUGGACGGGGAUAAUCUCGGGAAACUGAGGCUAAUCCCCGAUAGGGCUUCCAUCCUGGAGUGGAGGAAGUCCAAAAGGUUGCGCUGCGGCACCACAGGAUGUGGCUGCGGCCGAUUAGGUAGACGGUGGGGUAACGGCCCACCGUGCCAGUAAUCGGUACGGGUGAUGAGAGUCAGAGCCCGGAGACGGUAUCUGAGACAAGAUACCGGGCCCUACGGGGCGCAGCAGGCGCGAAACCUUUACACUGCACGACAGUGCGAUAGGGGGAUUCCGAGUGCGAGGGCAUACAGUCCUCGCUUUUCUGGAUCGUAAGGAGAUGCAAGAAUAAGGGCUGGGCAAGACCGGUGCCAGCCGCCGCGGUAAUACCGGCAGCCCGAGUGAUGGCCGAUAUUAUUGGGCCUAAAGCGUCCGUAGCU